Molecule: ribosomal RNA, 440 nt
Filed under: uncultured bacterium
Lineage: Bacteria
Description: partial 16S ribosomal RNA
Rfam family: Bacterial small subunit ribosomal RNA
Source: RNAcentral
CCUACGGGUGGCAGCAGUGGGGGAUAUUGCACAAUGGGGGCAACCCUGAUGCAGCGACGCCGCGUGAGCGAUGGAGUACUUCGGUAUGUAAAGCUCUGUCAGCAGGGAAGAGAAUGACAGUACCUGACCAAGAAGCCCCGGCUAACUACGUGCCAGCAGCCGCGGUAAUACGUAGGGGGCAAGCGUUAUCCGGAUUUACUGGGUGUAAAGGGAGCGUAGACGGGUAGGUAAGUCUGGAGUGAAAGCCCGGGGCCCAACCCCGGGACUGCUUUGGAAACUGUGUAAGUGGAGUACAGGAGGGGCAGGCGCAAUUCCUGGUGUAGCGGUGAAAUGCGUAGAUAUCAGGAGGAACACCGGCGGCGAAGGCGGCCUGCUGGACUGAAACUGACGUUGAGGCUCGAAAGCGUGGGGAGCAAACAGGAUUAGAUACCCGUGUAGUC